GAAGAAUUAGUUAAAUUCAUAACAUUAGAUUGUCAAACUAAUAUUAUCAUUAGAUAUUCUUCU
RNAcentral lists this transfer RNA (63 nucleotides) under Laxta sp. BLA048. RNAcentral describes it as "tRNA-Asp". Lineage: Eukaryota; Metazoa; Arthropoda; Insecta; Blattodea; Blaberidae. The record is from RNAcentral.